UACAGAGGGUGCAAGCGUUGUUCGGAAUUAUUGGGCGUAAAGGGUGCGUAGGCGGUGCGGUAAGUCUGUAGUGAAAUCUCUGGGCUCAACUCAGAGUCUGCUAUAGAAACUGCCGUGCUUGAGUGUGGGAGAGGUGAGUGGAAUUCCCGGUGUAACGGUGAAAUGCGUAGAUAUCGGGAGGAACACCUGUGGCGAAAGCGGCUCACUGGACCACAACUGACGCUGAUGCACGAAAGCUAGGGGAGCAAACAGG
Molecule: ribosomal RNA, 253 nt
Filed under: uncultured bacterium
Lineage: Bacteria
Description: partial 16S ribosomal RNA
Rfam family: Bacterial small subunit ribosomal RNA
Source: RNAcentral